AAAUUGAAGAGUUUGAUCAUGGCUCAGAUUGAACGCUGGCGGCAGGCCUAACACAUGCAAGUCGAACGGUAACAGGAAGCAGCUUGCUGCUUUGCUGACGAGUGGCGGACGGGUGAGUAAUGUCUGGGAAACUGCCUGAUGGAGGGGGAUAACUACUGGAAACGGUGGCUAAUACCGCAUAACGUCGCAAGACCAAAGAGGGGGACCUUCGGGCCUCUUGCCAUCAGAUGUGCCCAGAUGGGAUUAGCUAGUUGGUGAGGUAACGGCUCACCAAGGCGACGAUCCCUAGCUGGUCUGAGAGGAUGACCAGCCACACUGGAACUGAGACACGGUCCAGACUCCUACGGGAGGCAGCAGUGGGGAAUAUUGCACAAUGGGCGCAAGCCUGAUGCAGCCAUGCCGCGUGUAUGAAGAAGGCCUUCGGGUUGUAAAGUACUUUCAGCGGGGAGGAAGGUGUUGUGGUUAAUAACCGCAGCAAUUGACGUUACCCGCAGAAGAAGCACCGGCUAACUCCGUGCCAGCAGCCGCGGUAAUACGGAGGGUGCAAGCGUUAAUCGGAAUUACUGGGCGUAAAGCGCACGCAGGCGGUCUGUCAAGUCGGAUGUGAAAUCCCCGGGCUCAACCUGGGAACUGCAUU
RNAcentral lists this ribosomal RNA (637 nucleotides) under Salmonella enterica. Its description in RNAcentral is "bacterial SSU rRNA". It matches the Rfam family "Bacterial small subunit ribosomal RNA", at positions 1 to 627 of the family's 1533-position model. The record is from RNAcentral. RNAcentral also lists the same sequence under 3 other names. Lineage: Bacteria; Pseudomonadati; Pseudomonadota; Gammaproteobacteria; Enterobacterales; Enterobacteriaceae.